RNAcentral lists this ribosomal RNA (572 nucleotides) under Sarcocystis hircicanis. RNAcentral describes it as "SSU rRNA". It matches the Rfam family "Eukaryotic small subunit ribosomal RNA", at positions 335 to 896 of the family's 1831-position model. Lineage: Eukaryota; Apicomplexa; Conoidasida; Eucoccidiorida; Sarcocystidae. The record is from RNAcentral.
AUUGGACUACCGUGGCAGUGACGGGUAACGGGGAAUUAGGGUACGAUUCCGGAGAGGGAGCCUGAGAAACGGCUACCACAUCUAAGGAAGGCAGCAGGCGCGCAAAUUACCCAAUCCUGACUCAGGGAGGUAGUGACAAGAAAUAACAACACUGGAAAUUUUAUUUCUAGUGAUUGGAAUGAUGGGAAUUUAAACCCCUUUCAGAGUAACAAUUGGAGGGCAAGUCUGGUGCCAGCAGCCGCGGUAAUUCCAGCUCCAAUAGCGUAUAUUAAAGUUGUUGCAGUUAAAAAGCUCGUAGUUGGAUGUCUGCUGGAAGCAAUCGGUCCGCCCUAUUUGUAGGGUGUGCACUUGAUGAAUUCUGGCAUCUCUAUCCUGAUAAUGAUGCGCGGUGGGGGUUCUCUCUUCCGCGAUAUCAUUUUGGGAUACUGUUACUUUGAGAAAAUUAGAGUGUUUGAAGCAGGCUAAUUGCCUUGAAUACUGCAGCAUGGAAUAACAAUAUAGGAUUUCGGUUCUAUUUUGUUGGUUUCUAGGACUGAAAUAAUGAUUAAUAGGGACAGUAGGGGGCAAUCGUA